UUUCUGCUGAAUGCUUGGGCGGGUGUCACUAUAAGACACGAAACAACAUGACGCGCAUACGCUGCUGUUCUCAAGGUGAGAAAAGGGAAGUUUAAUUUCUGCCUCCAACCUUUAUAGAUUUCCAAAGGUGACAGUGGAUUGGAGGGUGAACGUGCCACCUCUCCAAUGACACUGGACAAACCAAUAGUCCAUCAAACGUCUCCUCCUCCAUAAAAGAAUGCAAAACAAUAAGUUAUUUCCAGAAAGUGUGUGUGAAAGUUCAUUACAAGAAUGUAACAUCAGAAGGCUUAGAAAAUCUUGAAAAAUCAGGGCGACAGUGCGGGUAUGAGCAAAUGCAUCAGUAAGUGUGUGUGUUUCAAAUGCUGGGUAGCUUUAUGACCAGCAGCAGACUCCUGUUUAUUUAGGGGGAAGGGGAGAUUUGUUUUGAAAAGUCUGAAAUGGAAAUACCUCCAUGGACUUCAGUUGUUGAAUUACUGAUGUUAUUAUUCAAGACUGCUUUGUAAAUAAUGAUAAAUUGUCAUGAGAAUACACAGGUAUCUAAUCUUCCUUUUUUGUGAUUUUGAGUGAGGUAGCUUGUGUGUGUUUCUUAGCUGGGAUUUUAUUUGGCUUAUUUGUUCAAUCCUUUGUCAAACCUUGGAAAAGCUGUAUGUGUGAAGGUGCAUGGCAUAAUUUAAAACAAGGCAGGAAUGUGAUACAGUGAUCCUUUUUUGCUGGUCGUAGAGUAAGAGUAGCUCUUUUUGACACACCACAAAGAUACUGAGUCUCAAGGAACUUUGUAGCUGAAUAACAACUGGCUUUCAAAUGUUUAACAUUUGUUUUUCUGUUCCAAGUGUGUAUGGGAGAAGCCUAGAAGGUCAAGAGAAAAUAAGCAGAAGUCAAAGACAGAUUGUAAGACAAAUAGUAACAUCUGACCAUUCCACUUUCCAUGGGAUUAAGAAUGGUUGUGGAUUGCUCUUUUAGGACCUCGGUUUACAGCUGCAGUGCCAUGGAAGGAAAAAUAGGGUGUUUGCCAUUACUCUGCUGGCUUCAGAUCCUAGAAUAAAUAUAGUAUUCAAGGAUGGAUCCCUGAAUGUUGAGAGGUGAUGACAAUUGCCAGAAACAGUGACUAGCAGCAAGAGACUGCAAUAUCCACCUUAAUUGCAUUCUAUAUUUUUCGACAUAAUUUACAGUUUUAAAGUGUUGAAAAGUUACAUUUUGAAUGUAUGAAAUCUCCCAAUGUGUUGUUCAUGAAAACAGGCAAAGCAUCUCCCUAGUCCUACCACUGCCCAUCCCCUGUGACCUAAAAAAUUCUCUGAAAAAGCGUGAUGUGCACCUUGACACAGGAGAGAGAAGAAUGUACUGCAGGAGAAAAAGGUGUUUUGUGGAACAAAUCAGAAGGUAUUUCUAGGAUAGGAUAAAAAAUGCUGAAGAUGAAGCUGUUUAACAAAAGGAGAUCACAAAAGAUUUGCAUUGAAACCUUGGCUUGCAAUUUAAUCUGGAAGUCCCUGCAUGAAUCAUUUGAAGAAUGUCACACAGCGCAAAGUAGGUGGUCCUUUGCUGAGAAAGCAGAAGAUAAAAUACUCUGAUGUUAAAAUUUGGUUUAGGUGAACCUAGCAAAGGUGGCUGUCAUUGAAGUUACAUAAUACUUUCCUUUAUGAGACCUUUUCUAUGCUAGUGUAUAAUUUGAAAAGCAUGGACCUGAUUUCUCCAUGGCUAUCAUCAGUCUUAGGCUAAUUUUCUGGGGAAAGUUUCAGUAGACAAUGAAACAAUUCAAGGCAAAACACAGUCUACACAAUGCAUGUUUUUUUUAAAAAAAAAAUCUUAUAACCACCUUUAUCAGGUGGUUAAAGAAGCUGGAGAGCCUGGAGUCAGGAAUCUGUGUAAAUCUGACUGUAUCUCCAUCCCCUCUGAAAAUUUCCUAUGUAGUCUCUAUGGGAGUUUGGCAGCAGCAGUCUCUGAAGAUUCUGUGCUGCCCAUACUCUCAAGCCCAGGGAAUCUGGGCUGAAUAGGAGGGGUUUUUAAUGUUUGACAUCCAAAUCUCCCUGUGGCUCCUGUGGUUUAUCUGUUCUCCCUUCCCAGCAUCUUUGUGGCUCUAUUUUAUUCGUACUGGACCACAGUCACUGAUGUUAAGAAAGGCAGAUGAGAGGGAUUUACAUCAGUGAAGCUGGAUAUUUGUGAUAUUCAUGGCACUUUGGAUAUCAGGUUUUACUUACGGUGAUACAGGGGUAGAGGUCUGGAGUUUUUUGGAGGUAAAACCAGCAGGAUUUGGAAAUUAUCCAAAUGUGGGAUUUAGAGGAAAGAAGAAAGAAAAAGAAAAAAUCAACCACAAAGCUUAAAGAAAAAAAAGUGAAUUUUUAAGUGAUAAGAGUAAAGAGGAUGGGCUGGAUUCAUUUUUUUUGUGUUUGAAGGUGUGGUGUUACAACAGGGCAAAAGGAUGCAAGAUCCCAAUUGAAAGGGGACAAUUAGAGCUUGAAAGAAGGAAUAAAUUUUUAAGUCAUUGAUGUUCACAAGGUGAAGGUAAAAACACUCUUCAGUUUGUUCGCUUUCCAGCCCCAGGGACAAGGUACUGUAUUGAGCCCCUGUAAAUACUGUAUUGUAUUUAAAGAGAUUGCUGUGCUUUGUAAAAAUGCUUGGCUGGGUAAAGCAAGCAGCUUGCAGACCUGUGGGAUUUGUUGUCAAAAAAAUGCCUUUUAUUUCCACAAUAUGGAUUUAAAGGGAAACUGAACAGGUAGUUGGACGAGAUACCUAUUGAUGUAACUGAGAAGGAAAGCCACAGGAAGCUUGGAAAAUGCCCUAAAUGGCUUCUGCUUGGAGGCUGAGAAGUUAUACUGGGUGAGGUGCACUCUUGACCUGCCAUUUAUAUACUCUUAGGAUGACAUUCUUCUGGAGCCCAUGUUUUGUCCUUGCACAGUGUUAAGGUUCAGGAGCUUUGGGGAGGAAGGGAGAAAGCCAUUUUGAAGUUUCCCAGGCUGCAGACAGAGCUCAGGUGAGAUAUUUAAUAGGAUUGAAAGGGCUUCCAGGGAGCUGCUCGCUGACCCCUGGGUUACCUUCCUGUACAGUCUGGCACCUCUCUUGUUGCACUUAUAUUUGCUGAGUGCAACUGGUUGGAUUUCUUAUUUAUUCUCCUAUAUAACCUUCCAUGUAGAAAUCACCCUACAUCAUAUUCUCCUACAAGUCAUGCCCCCAAAAUAUACAUUAACUCUUUAAUUUCAGAAGAUAAAUUUUCUCUCUGAAAAUUAAAGAGUUUUUCCAGCUAUUUCACUGAUG
This is a long non-coding RNA of Motacilla alba alba, 3246 nucleotides long. RefSeq lists it as uncharacterized. The record is from RefSeq and is a predicted model, not a curated record. Lineage: Eukaryota; Metazoa; Chordata; Aves; Passeriformes; Motacillidae. The transcript is spliced from 6 exons.